UUUUUUUUUUAAGAUUUUAUUUAUUUGACAGACAGAGAUCAUAAGUAGGCAGAGAGAGAGAGAGGAGGAAGCGGGCUCCCUGCCAAGCAGAGAGCCUGACUCGGGGCUCAAUCCCAGGACCCUGGGAUCAUGACCCAAGCCAAAGGCAGAGGCUUCAACCCACUGAGCCACCCAGGUGCCCCAGGUUUUACAAUUCUUAACCUCUCUGAGAUAAAUGGGAGAAUCCAACCUUUUCUAUGGGGAAAGCAUUCAAAGUGGAUUGGGGGGUACUUUCUUUUUCUACUACCCCAAAAGGCCUUUUUCUGUCUGGCUCUGCUUUUUGCUCUCCCUGUUCUGAAACCAGAGGCCUCUUUGAAAGCUUCAGAAAUAAAAUCGUUAAGUCUGGGCUUUCUUUCCUUCCAUCUGACUUGGUCCUUAGUGUUUCAGGUGCUGUCUCAGGUAGCUGAGGAAGAGGAAGAGCCCCUGCCUGUGAAGAUCUGCUGGGUUCUUCUUGCGUCUGGGCUCCUGGUGUGCAUUUUUUCCUGUAAUCACCUUGUUCUCUGCAAGGCAACCCAGCAGAUUAUGAGGGAGAGAUUACCACAUCUUUCUGUUGACAAAGCCUGGGGCUACAUUUGGCCUUUGGGCCUCUUGCUUCCAGACUUUCCCCAUUAUGCCCUAUUGACUUCCAACCCAACGUUACUUGGACAGUUUGGUGUUUUUGAGGUUGGUGGGGAUAAUAUCCUUAUGACACAAAGGAAACAAGGGAGCAGGGAUCAGAGAUUAACCCAGGCACACAGGGCAGGGGUGAUCCUACAGGACUAGAGACUCCCCAGGGCACUCAUGGAGCAGUAAGAGAGUGGAAAGAGUUUGGCUCUGGUGGCUGGUAGGCAGAGUUGGGGUCACAUUAUAUUCCCUGACUGAUCUUGAGCAGAUGGUCUUUUUGUUUCUUCGUUAGUAAAAUAGGUGAUAGUCUCUGCCUUGCUGGUUAUUGGGUGACAGGUACCCAGAAUUGGUCCUAGUGUGGGAAGUAUUGGUGACAACUGUCCUAAAGUCUACACUCAAAAUAAGGUGGUCUACAUGUAGAGCUAGUAUGUCCCUGAGUUUCGACAUAGAAUAUUCUGUUUAAUUUAUUUAAGAAGUACAGUUGUGAGUUUUGACAAAAAUCAUAGGAUUAGGUAUAUCCUACAACUAUUCUAAAACUUACCUGUUCUGGAGUGCGUGGCCCCAGCUUCUGUGUUAGAAACAGGUGGUCUUUGAAUCCUUCCUUGUUGAGUGCAUCUGGUUUGAGAACAUCCCUUUAGGAACCUCCCUGUAUCAUGGUGUGGUUGUUCCAUUGGUUCUCAGGUUAGUGUGAAAUCCCACAUUGGGUAGAUCAAAAGGCAUAGCUGUACUAACCAUAGUUUAAGUGGGUUGAAGCUCUUCAGCUUCAGGUUCACUGAAUCUUGUAAAACUAACAAGCAAUUUUAGAUGGUUCUGAGAGAAUUUCAUUUUUUCUUUAAAUUGAGAUAGAGGACACAUACUGAAGGGUGCUACUUGAUAACAUUUACCCAAAUGUGAACACAUCCUUACAGCUUGAUUCAAGAAACAGCCUUGAAACCCCCUUACGCCUGCUUAUUGUCACCACCACAAGGGUAACCAGUUUCUUGGCUUCUAAUAGCAUAGGUUAGUUUUUCCUGGUUUUGCAUAAUACAUAAUGGUAUUACACAGUCUGUACCCUUUGCUUGCUUUCAUUCAACUGUUUGUGAGAUUUAUCUACAUUGAGUUUAGCGGUAGUUAAUUCAUUUUCAUUGCUGCAUGGUAUUCUGUGUCUAGAAUUUCUCUUUGGCUUUGUUUCACAACUGCUUCGUUUUCUUUUACACUGUUCUGUUCUUUUUUUUUUUUUUUAAGAUUUUAAAAAUUCAUUUGAGUUAGAGUGCAUGCAAAUGAAAGCAUGAGUGGGGGGAGGGUCAGAGGGAGAGGGAGAAGUAGACUUGGGGCUUGAUCCCAGGGCCCCAGGGUCAUGACCUGAGCAGAAGGCAGACAUUUAACCUACUGAGACAUCUAGGCGCCCCUCAGGCUAUCUUAUGACUCAAAUUGGACAUGUUGAAGACUAAAGGGAGUUUCUGGUAGCUUCUAGGAGAGAGAAUUUUCUUUAAGGAAGUGGCUGAUGAAUUAAAAUCACCAAGAUAAAACUUUUUUUUUACUACAUUGGUGUGAUGUGUAGCAUACAUAGGAAGACCAAAGGGUAAAAUCAGUUCUUUCCCUCUCAACAGUUCCCCUCUCCAUCUCUGGCAGCUUUUCUGUUUUAGGCUCCCAGUUUGUGUGUAUUUUAUUUUCAAAGUAAAUCAAAGCUGGAGGGUAAUUUCCAGCAACAAUUGAUUGAGGAGAGAUUUUCACCCCCCUCAACUAUAAAACAGGACGAAAUAAGCCCAAAAAUGUCAAUCAUUUCAACACUUUGGAAAUUGAUCAGAGGCAUAUAAUGAUCUGAGAAGUGUUUGUGCUUAAGGAACUACUGAAUUUUGGGUAAGAAUAGUGAGAAUAUGUGAGGAUUUAGCCUGGGGCUCUUUCCAUUCCCUCUCCCCAGUUCUGGUAGGGAACUUCUGCCUGGCAGGUGCAGGCUAUGAAGACCAGCCCCUUUGCAGGAUUGAGAAGGGGCUCAUUCGAUUUAGGAGAGCUGUGGACAGUAGCCCUGAAACCUUGGCCUUAUUGGUUGGAAUGACAGUCUUAGAGGUGGGAAAUGGGGAAGGACAAUGACUCUGUUAGCCCAGGAUUGCAGUCAUGGUUGGGGCAAGACAAAAACUGAAGAAAUAAUGUUCAAGAACAUACGUGAGGAGAAUUCCUGCCUGCUCUCAUUCAAAAAGUUCAACAGACCUCAAGUAGCGGAAACACAAAGUGAUCUGUACCUAGACACAUUAUAGAUAGUCAAGAUGUUACAAGCCAGAGAAAAAGAAAAUCUUAAAAGUAGCAAGAGAAAAAGGGCUUAUUACAUACAGGGGAGCAUUCAUAUGAUUAACAACAGCUGGCUUCUCGCCCAAGAUAAAAGCUGAAUGGUAUUCAUGAGCGCUCAAGGAAGAAAACUGUCAACCUGGAAUUCUGUGUCCAGCAGAACUCCUUCAGAAAUGAAGGCAAAAAAGACAUUUUCAGGUAUAGUCCGAAAGAAUCCACCACUGGCAGACCUGCCAGUUCUUCAGGCUGAAAGAAAAUGACAUGUUGGUAACUUAGGUUCCCAGGAAGAAAAGAGCACUAGAAAUGGUAAAUGUGUGGGCUAACAUAAAAAACUUUAUUCUUAUUUCUUCUUAAAACACGUAACACUAUGUAAAGUGUUAACUGUAACUAACAUUGGUCAUAGAAUAGACCAAAAUAACCAUUUCAUCUCUGUGGAAAUUGACCAAAGCAUACCAAAGUCUGUUGUGUUUAUAAUGGUGACAGAUAUGUCAGAGAAUAAUAGUACAAAACAGGAGGAAUGAAAUGGAGCUCCAUUGGGGUAAAAUUUUUCUACAUUUUACUGGAAUCAAGUUAAUAUUAAUUUGACGCAGAUUGUGGUUAAUUAAUAAGAUGAUCAUUGUAAUCUCUAGGGCAACUAUUAAGAAUAACUUUAAAAUACAGUUUAAAAAAUCAGAAGAAUUUAGUUGUAUACUAAGAAAUGUAUAACACAAAAGCAGACUGUCAAUGAGGAACAACAAAAAAGGAAUGUAUGUACAACACAACUAGCAAAAUGACACAUUAACACAUAUAAAUCCAAUCAGAUCAAUUACUGUUUUAAAUGUGAGGGGUCUAAAAACCCCAGUUAUCAAGGCAGAGGUUAUCAGACUAGAUAAAAAAAAAAGCAAGAUCCCACUUAAUUGUAUAUUGUCUAUAAAAGACACUUACUAGUUUUAAGGAUGCUUUAUCCUUUGGUAAAAUAAUAGGAAAAGCUAUACUAUAAGUAACCAUAGGAAAGCUAGAGUGACUGUUACCAAUGUCAGAUGAAAUUAACUAUAAGACCAAAAAAUAGUACUAGAGCCAAAGAGCGACAUUUUAUAAUUAUUUAGCAGGGAGACAGACAUACCAGUCAAAAGUUUAUAUCAACCUAAGAAUAGAACCCCAAAAUACCUGAGAUAUAAACUGAUAAGGUAGUAGAAAUCACAUUUUAUCAAUUAUUGUUAGAGAAUUCAGUAUUCCACUCUUAAUUGGUAGAGCUACUAAAUAGAAAAUUGUUAAGGUUCUAGAAGACUCAGAGAACAUUGUUGAUCCAUUUGGCCUAACAGGAAUCUAUAGAGCACCAGUGACUACGGAAAACAGAAUACAUCUUUAUACAUGCUCAUGGAACAUUCUCCAGGGUAGACCAAAGGCUGGACCAUUAAGCAACUCUCAGGGAUGGUUUUGUUUUUGUUUUUGUUUUUUUAAAGAAAAAAAAAAACCACAAUAACAAGUGUUGGUGAUGUGGAGAAGGUGGAACCCUCAUACUUUGCUAGUGGAAAUGUAAAAUGGCAUAACAUUCAGCGGUUUCUUACAAAGUUACACAUGAACUUAACACAGACCCUGCUUUCUAUCCAAGGAACAUACUCAAGAGAAAUGAUAAAAACGUGUGUCUACACAAAGACAGGUACGUGGGUGUUCACAGCGUAAUUCAUAAUAACUGAAAGAUGGAAACAAUCCAGAUAGCCAGGCAAAGAUAGAUAAAACAUGCUAUAGGGGCGCCUGGGUGGCUCAGAGGGUUAAAGCCUCUGCCUUCAGCUCAGGUCAUGAUUCCCAGGGUCCUGGGAUCGAGCCCCACAUCAGGCUCUCUGCUCAGUGGGGAGUCUGCUUCUCCCUCUCCCUCUGCCUAUUUCUCUGCCUACUUGUGAUCUCUGUCUGUCAAAUAAAUAAAUAAAAUCUUAAAAAAAAA
Molecule: long non-coding RNA, 4825 nt
Organism: Mustela lutreola (European mink)
Lineage: Eukaryota; Metazoa; Chordata; Mammalia; Carnivora; Mustelidae
Exons: 2
Source: RefSeq, a predicted model, not a curated record